This is a long non-coding RNA of Mesocricetus auratus (golden hamster), 2612 nucleotides long. RefSeq lists it as uncharacterized. The record is from RefSeq and is a predicted model, not a curated record. NCBI's taxonomy places the organism in Eukaryota, Metazoa, Chordata, Mammalia, Rodentia, Cricetidae. The transcript has 5 exons.
CCGAGUGAAGGCCUCUCUCCUCGCUGUCAAGGCUCCAUCAGCUGGCCCAUGAAGAGGAUUGUCUCUGUGGACACAAGAGUCACAACAGCUAUAUAGCCAAGGAUGGCCCUGGACUUACUCUUCAGCACACCUGGCUGAUGAGCUGAGCGUGCAAGCCAGGACUCACUGAGACUGGAGCUGAAGGGAGAGCUGAAGAUGGGUGAAUGGACACUGAAUUCCGUCCCCCACCCCUUACCUCUGGUGUGCCUCUCCACCCAGUCAUUGAUGAUGAAUCUGGCUCUCUCCACCUCCGAGAAGUCCACCUGCUUCACUGUGGUCCGGAAGAGCUUGAAGAAGUGGGGCAUGAAGCCCUGGACCAGCUCCAGGUCUCUCUGGACGAAGAUGGCGUCGGCGGUGCUAAUCUCGUUCUGGUUCCACGGCCCCAUGAGCUCCUUGGACAGCUGACGGAGGGCAGGAGCUGUGGUCUUCUCUGCAGAGUUUUUUGAACAGGUCUCACCGGGCACAUCAGGGUGGCUGGACACUACUGUUUAGUUCAGGCUGACUUUGAACUCACAGAGAACUGCCCGCCUCUACCUCCUGAGUCCUGGGACUAAAGGUGUGUGCCCCCAUGCUGUCUCCCUCUCUCUUUCUUCUCUCCUCUCCCCAUUCCUCUCUGGGAAGGAUUUCACACUUUAACACAGACUGCAUAAACUGGUUUGCCACUCACUAUAUAGUCCUAGAUGUCUUGGGAGCUAACAGAAAUCCCCCUGCCUUUACCUCCCCUGUGCUGCGAUUAGAGGCAUACACUGCUAUACUCAGCUCUCAUAUUUUAACCCUUUUGUGCAUCCUGUCCCAAAGAGUCUCAGCUAAAGAUUUAUUUAUUAUUUAGAGUGCAGGCCAGAAGAGGGCACCAGAUCUCAUUACAGAUGGUUGUGGACCACAAUGUGGGUGCUGGGAAUUGAACUCAGGACCUCUGGAAGAGCAGUCACUGAGCUCUCCAGCCCCUCAAUUCUUAAAUUGUAAACAUUAGUUUGCUUCCCCCCCUGUCCCUUACCCUUCACUAGUGCUGGGAUUACAGGUAUGGCCGCCCUGCUUGGCUUGCUCUUUUGUUUGAUUUUGUGACAGGGCCUUGCUCUCUAUCCCAGCCUGGAGUGGCGCUUGCUAUGUAGCCCAGGCUGGCCCCAAUUCAUCAUCUUCCUCCCUCAGGCUCCCAAGGGCUGGGAUUACAGGUCUCAUGCAAUCCAAGCUGUUGCUGAAUUUAAUACAUAGUUAAGUACAAGCCUGAACUCCUGAUCCUCCUGCCUCCAGUUCCCUAGGAAUGUGGUUACAGCUAUACCCCACCGUCUCCAGUUUCAUUUGGUGCUGGGGAUAGAACCCAGGGCUUUGCACCUGCUAAGCAAGCUGCAUCCCCAGUGCCAAGGGGAUACAAGCACAGUUUGUAUGUUCUAUAUCUAUUGGUUGGGUACAUCAUGGACAAGUCAAGUCCUUCUGACCCAGAAGCUGGAGAGAGAAUGGUGGUCCCUGGGCUGCAGCUAGAGGUGACUGGACUUGGCCGUGCUGCAGCCUGGCCUUCUCUGCCUCCUCUGUUUGCUCUGGCCCCUAGUCCUCGAGAACCUCCUAACUCUCUCCGCCUCCCACCCUGCCCCCGGCUCUCACCGCUGAUUUUGAAUCCCAUAGCAUCUUGGAUCUGCUGCUGCGUUUUCCCUGCCGUGGUCAGCUGCAGCAUGGCCAGCACCGAGGACACCCCAUAGGGAGAGAAAACCACGUUCCGGUCCUUGGAGGCCUGGACCACAUGCUUAAACACUUUUACUCCGAAGUCGGUGGCCUGAUGGGCUGUGCGGGACUCUUGAAGAUGUAAAGCCGAGCUUUUCCCAAAGACCAGAAGCAGGCCCAGGGUGAGGCAGACUCGCGCUGAAGCCAUCUUCAUCCUACGGUAAAUGGAAGGGAAUCUGAUAAGGAGAGGCUUCUGGAAGACUGCCCGGAGGGGGACACGGUGCCUCAGGCAAGGACUAGGCUCCCUGGGUUUGCCUUUAGCCUGUAAGAGAUCAGUCCAGUAAAUUCACAAUCAUUCAGAUCCCAUAACGCAAUUGGAUGAUGAGCUCAUCCCUUCUGCCUCCAACCAAUUCUUUUAAUUUUUUCCAGACAGAGUCUUGUUAUGUUACCCAGGUUGGUCUUGAACACAGGAUCCUCCUGUUUCAAUUCUCCCAAGUACAGGGAUCACAGGCAUGCAUUACUGCCCAUAGACCCUGCUUGAUUUUUAUCAUAAACCACCCUCAAUUUUUACCUGUGGAAAUCUUAGAAGAACACCCUGUGCGUCUCUCUUCCCCUCCGUGGGGCGGAGGGACCUUUGGACAAUGACAGCUUUUGGUUUGCAAGUUUUUUGUUGUUCUCUUAUCACAAUUCCCCAACCACUGCUUCGAUCAAGUUAGCAGUAUGAAAAACUUCUCUGGGGCCAGGAGGACGGCCCAGUGGGUAAAGGCACUUGCCAUCAAGCCUGACGACCUGAGUUCUAGUCUUGGGACCCACAUGGCAGAGAGCAAGCUGACUCCUUAAAGUUGUCCUCUGAUUUCCACACUCACUGUGACACAUGAAUAUGUACACACGCAUGCACAUAUAAAUGCAAUUUUAAAGUG